GGCGAACGCUGGCGGCAGGCCUAACACAUGCAAGUCGAACGAACUCUUCGGAGUUAGUGGCGGACGGGUGAGUAACACGUGGGAACGUGCCUUUUGGUUCGGAAUAACUCAGGGAAACUUGUGCUAAUACCGAAUGUGCCCUUCGGGGGAAAGAUUUAUCGCCAUUAGAGCGGCCCGCGUCUGAUUAGCUUGUUGGUGAGGUAACGGCUCACCAAGGCGACGAUCAGUAGCUGGUCUGAGAGGGGGACCAGCCACACUGGGACUGAGACACGGCCCAGACUCCUGCGGGUGGCAGCAGGAGGGAAUCUUCCGCAAGGGGCGAAAGCGUGACGGAGCAACGGCGCGUGAGUGAUGAAAGUCUUCGGAUCGGAAAACUCUGUUAGUAGGGAAGAAGAGAAGUGUAAGUAAAUGUGCACAUCUUGACGGUACCUAAUCAGAAAGCCACGGCUAACUACGUG
This 458-nucleotide ribosomal RNA is filed under the name uncultured bacterium. RNAcentral describes it as "partial 16S ribosomal RNA". It matches the Rfam family "Bacterial small subunit ribosomal RNA", at positions 28 to 507 of the family's 1533-position model. The record is from RNAcentral.